RNAcentral lists this long non-coding RNA (250 nucleotides) under Nicotiana benthamiana. RNAcentral describes it as "long non-coding RNA (NBEN_LNC030101)". Lineage: Eukaryota; Viridiplantae; Streptophyta; Magnoliopsida; Solanales; Solanaceae. The record is from RNAcentral.
GAGGUAAUCAUAAUACCAGAACUGCCAGAACCCUGGUUUCUAGGCCCGAAAGCAUCUAGUCCAAAAGACAUCGUUGGAUUAUUAACUGAAAACUCGCUGAAACUGAAACAGAGGACUGAAAACUGGCGUUGCCGGAAAACAGGAACACUGUAGCUGCCGGAAAAACACUGUAGCUGCCGGAAAAAUUCAAAGUUGUCGGAAUUGAAAAGUAAAAAUAUGGAUAGGCUCGGAAUUCAAGGGUGAGCAANNN